GGGGGUGUAGCUCAGCUGGGAGAGCAAUGCGUUUGCAACGCAUAGGUCGGCGGUUCGACUCCGCUCACCUCCA
This 73-nucleotide transfer RNA is filed under the name bacterium. RNAcentral describes it as "tRNA-Ala". It matches the Rfam family "tRNA". From Rfam's summary of the family: Transfer RNA (tRNA) molecules are approximately 80 nucleotides in length. Their secondary structure includes four short double-helical elements and three loops (D, anti-codon, and T loops). RNAcentral also lists the same sequence under 2 other names. The record is from RNAcentral.